AUCCCAUGGUGAGGACACACUAAGAUGUACUCUUGGAGUCUCUCCCACGCUUUAGAUAUUGAUUCAUUUGACGCGUGCUAGAAACCGGAGAUUCUUCCAGAAAGGGU
Small nucleolar RNA from Panicum hallii, 107 nucleotides. Lineage: Eukaryota; Viridiplantae; Streptophyta; Magnoliopsida; Poales; Poaceae. The record is from RefSeq and is a predicted model, not a curated record.